RNAcentral lists this ribosomal RNA (519 nucleotides) under Beauveria pseudobassiana. Its description in RNAcentral is "eukaryotic LSU rRNA". The stretch from base 155 to 308 matches the Rfam family "5.8S ribosomal RNA". The record is from RNAcentral. Lineage: Eukaryota; Fungi; Ascomycota; Sordariomycetes; Hypocreales; Cordycipitaceae.
UCAACUCCCAAACCCUUAUGUGAACCUACCUAUCGUUGCUUCGGCGGACUCGCCCCAGCCGGACGCGGACUGGACCAGCGGCCGCCGGGGACCAUCAAACUCUUGUAUUAUCAGCAUCUUCUGAAUACGCCGCAAGGCAAAACAAAUAAAUUAAAACUUUCAACAACGGAUCUCUUGGCUCUGGCAUCGAUGAAGAACGCAGCGAAAUGCGAUAAGUAAUGUGAAUUGCAGAAUCCAGUGAAUCAUCGAAUCUUUGAACGCACAUUGCGCCCGCCAGCAUUCUGGCGGGCAUGCCUGUUCGAGCGUCAUUUCAACCCUCGACCUCCCUUUGGGGAAGUCGGCGUUGGGGACCGGCAGCACACCGCCGGCCCUGAAAUGGAGUGGCGGCCCGUCCGCGGCGACCUCUGCGUAGUAAACCAACUCGCACCGGAACCCCGACGUGGCCACGCCGUAAAACACCCAACUUCUGAACGUUGACCUCGAAUCAGGUAGGACUACCCGCUGAACUUAAGCAUAUCA